Long non-coding RNA from Mus musculus (house mouse), 1810 nucleotides. RefSeq annotates it as predicted gene, 32190. The record is from RefSeq and is a predicted model, not a curated record. NCBI's taxonomy places the organism in Eukaryota, Metazoa, Chordata, Mammalia, Rodentia, Muridae. The transcript is spliced from 3 exons.
AUAAAGAAGACUGUCCCUUCUAAAGUGGGAGAGCCUCACCCACUUGGUUGAAGACCUGCACAGAGCAGCAAACUUAUCUUCCGUGGACAGAAGUGAAUGCUGCAGGAAAUAGCCUUGGAAGCUUACUACAACGUGACUCUUUCAGCCAGAGAGGCCCGCUCUGCAGAGUCUGAGCCACCCUCCACAGUCAUAACUUACAACACCAUUAUCCAGGAACCAAGCAUUCAGCCCAGGAGAGUGUGGAGACAUUGCAUAUUCAAAUCAUCAACAUCAUAAUGAGUAUUUCAUCAGUUGAAUUGGCUGGUAGAUGUUAGCUCUCAAACAAUUGUGGUAGAUGCUUUAAGAGACCAAGAACAAAGUCCUGGCAAUCAGAGGAAGGAGAUAGUACCCCUAGGAGAGCCUUCUAAAAGCUUGGCCUUCCAGAAUGGACUUGACUACAAAAGACAGUGUGGCAACACAGCCCUGGCACACACAUGGCUCAGAAACUGGAUGGUGCAGGGCCACACUGGGCCACAGAGACAAGCCCAGCUGGAUGAAGAGGGGAGGGAACAUAUGAAGUGAGAUGGAGAAUGUAGGAUCUGUCACCAGCACCUUGAGUGCACGCCAAGUGUCGAUGUUGGAUUUGGUGGGUGGGGAAGCCCUUGAAGGAUUCUAAGCUGUGAACGCCAUGGUCAGGGUUGUCUUCUCUAGAAGGGGCCUUUCAUGAGUUACCCAGGGAACGCAUAAAAUAUUGGCAAAGCCAUUGGUCCUGGGAUUUAGAAUGAACUCGGAGCCAGACCACAGCCCAAUGUAGAUGAGAUUUUGGCUCUAAGGAUAAGGAUUAGCUCAGACCUGAAAACUCACAGGGGUCAGAUUCAGCUGGUCUGGUCCCCAUGUCAACAGCAGUGCCAACGAUUUAUGUGUUUUUGGAGUAACCUCACCCCUUCCACUUCCACUCCCUCCUCUCUGUAACAGAGACACAGGACCGGCAGUGAUCGAUGAUAGCACACAGCCUACAUCUGGAGAAGAGCCAAGCUGGUAUUGCCUUUGAGCUGUUGCUGCAGUACCUGUGGGCCGUCUGUCGAUGCAGUGUCUGCAAGUAGCAUAUCUUGGAUCAAGCGAUGCAUAUCUUGGAGCCACCUGGUCUGAGACUCCCCCAGGACUCUUAAGGCUUCACUGUCAACAUGAGUGUAAAAAGGCUACAGGCCAGCUUGGAUGCUUUUAUCAGCAGAAAAAUCCAAUCUUAAGUAAUCAAAUGUCAACCAAAUUUUCUAGUUUGGUGAAAAGGGAGCUGAUGGUGUGGUGACCUAUAUUGUAGAGAAUCAGACUUUUAAUCCUGACAUCCACAGUGGCUGUUCUUCCCAUAUCUGUUCCCCUCAUACUUGUGGUAGUGUGAUGUCUGAUGCUCCACACAUAGCCUCAUCUUCACCAGAUAGGUGGGGCAGCUAUAGGCCACUUGCCUGCUUCUGAACAAUCCUCAGAAGUGCCCAUGCUGACCACUGGAAAGUCCUAUGACCUUGUGACACUUGCCUCUCUGUGCCCAAGGUUUCUAAUUAGUCAAGUGUACGACAGUAACCCCCUGUACAGAUGUUGUAAGAAUGCAAUGAAUGAUCACUGGCUUGCUUUAGUGUUUCCCCAGACCAUCUUCAGCAACCUGCUGGUGAGUCAGAGGAUAAACUUAGUGAAUUGUGACUAACUUAAAAAAAGAGAGAAGUGUGUUAGAGUGGGUGCAAAGAGCGAAUGACAAUGCACGCUGCAUGCCAUUAGCGGAUGGCGUUUUGUGGAGCUUGUCAUUGAGUUUUAUAUGUAUUCAUAAACUGUGCGACUGUAA